GAUGAACGCUGGCGGCGUGCCUAAUACAUGCAAGUCGAGCGAACAGACGAGGAGCUUGCUCCUCUGACGUUAGCGGCGGACGGGUGAGUAACACGUGGAUAACCUACCUAUAAGACUGGGAUAACUUCGGGAAACCGGAGCUAAUACCGGAUAAUAUAUUGAACCGCAUGGUUCAAUAGUGAAAGACGGUUUUGCUGUCACUUAUAGAUGGAUCCGCGCCGCAUUAGCUAGUUGGUAAGGUAACGGCUUACCAAGGCAACGAUGCGUAGCCGACCUGAGAGGGGGAUCGGCCACACUGGAACGGAGACGCGGUCCAGGCUCCUACGGGAGGGAGCAGUAGGGAAUCUUCCGCAACGGGCGAAAGCCUGACGGAGCAACGCCGCGUGAGUGAUGAAGGUCUUCGGAUCGUAAAACUCUGUUAUUAGGGAAGAACAAAUGUGGAAGUAACUAUGCACGUCUUGACGGUACCUAAUCAGAAAGCCACGGCUAACUACGUG
Molecule: ribosomal RNA, 497 nt
Filed under: uncultured bacterium
Lineage: Bacteria
Description: partial 16S ribosomal RNA
Rfam family: Bacterial small subunit ribosomal RNA
Source: RNAcentral